RNAcentral lists this ribosomal RNA (303 nucleotides) under uncultured bacterium. Its description in RNAcentral is "partial 16S ribosomal RNA". It matches the Rfam family "Bacterial small subunit ribosomal RNA", at positions 507 to 809 of the family's 1533-position model. The record is from RNAcentral.
AGCAGUAGCCGCGGUAAUACGGAGGGGGCUAGCGUUGUUCGGAACUACUGGGCGUAAAGCGCACGUAGGCGGCUUUGUAAGUUAGAGGUGAAAGCCUGGGGCUCAACUCCAGAAUUGCCUUUAAGACUGCAUCGCUUGAACGUCGGAGAGGUGAGUGGAAUUCCGAGUGUAGAGGUGAAAUUCGUAGAUAUUCGGAAGAACACCAGUGGCGAAGGCGGCUCACUGGACGACUGUUGACGCUGAGGUGCGCAGGCGUGGGGAGCAAACAGGAUUAGAGACCCCGGUAGUCCCUGUCUCUUAUAA